CACACACGCACACACACGCACAAAGUCUCCCAGGAUCAAUGUGCGUCUAGCAACUCAAUUCCCUCGCCGAAUUCUUGUCGGCCGAGACAGAGCUGCAUUAGUCCCGUUGCAGAGGAGCUGGUGUGCAAUCGCAUCAUGAAGUACGUGAAAAGGCUCGACCAGAGGAUGAAGGGGAGGAAGGAGCAGGUGACGAGGAGCAAAUACGGGCGGAUCAGCAAGAGGAACAAGGAAACGAUCAAAACGCCGUUCAUGAAGAGCCCUCAGCUUCGGUCCUUCAUGAUCAGGGACGGGAAUUAUGUGUCCCUGAAGGCGGCUUCUCCCCUUGACCUGUAGAAUCGCUUCUGUGGAGAUGAGAUCGGUCAACAUGGCGGCGGGAAGGGAUUUAUUUUUUAUCAUAUUGUAUGUGUAUUCUUGUUUUUCUUCUCCUUCGCGUCCUCUUUUCGUCUAAGGCGAGGGGGAUAUGACUUUAUUAUUUUUUUUUUUAUUACACUUGUAAACUUUUUUUCGUGUUAUUAAUUAUUUUGUAUUCUCUUGUCCCGAUCUGUUUUUUUUAAUGCAACUGCCUUGAUGGAUCCUCUAUCAAAGAAGAAAAAACUAUGCAUGUGGAAUAUAACUCCAUCUCAGUCUGAAACCUUCGCUCAAGCACAGACAAGCACUGCAAUCCCUUACUUGAGAUUCGUCAUAACUGAUCGACUUUUUUUUUUAGCGGUUCAGAACCCUAUGCACAAGGAACUUUAUCUUCGUUCCCUUAUUGUUUUCAAAUAAUGGCAAAGGAGGAUAAAGUUCUGAAGUAUAAAUAAGGUCCACCGGUCCUUGGUGAUAUUGUUAUAUGAUAUUAAUGGCAAGAACAUAUAUAAAGGACUAUGCUAACGAAAUCCAGAAGUUCAGUUAUCUAUUAAUAUUGCAUAAUUGGCAUUUUUUUCUCUUCAACUUCUCUUAAAAUAGAUAUAAAAACGACUAGACUGGCCGAUUCAAAAGCAAAUAUUAAAAAAUAACAAUCAGAGGGACUGACAGAUAAAAAAGAUAUAUAAUUAACUUUUCCAUGUCACUUUCCAUCAUUUAUUUACAUAAGCCUGAAAACACUUUUUUGAAACUAAGUUGAGUUAUUAUUUUCGAGACUAAAGUUAUUUGUAAACGUAUAAAUAAUCCUAUUGAUGUAUUUUGAUUUUCGCAAACUGCUUGUCCAAAACGGUAAUCGAGAGAUAUUGAUAUCUGACUCUGUUAUGAUUAUUUUCAAUGUGCACUGUAAUGAAUCUAUAAUAUUUUAUUUAUGAAAUCAAAUCCAAUAAAGCAUAUUAUGAUAA
Molecule: long non-coding RNA, 1304 nt
Organism: Penaeus indicus
Lineage: Eukaryota; Metazoa; Arthropoda; Malacostraca; Decapoda; Penaeidae
Exons: 2
Source: RefSeq, a predicted model, not a curated record